This 460-nucleotide ribosomal RNA is filed under the name uncultured bacterium. RNAcentral's name for it is "partial 16S ribosomal RNA". It matches the Rfam family "Bacterial small subunit ribosomal RNA", at positions 338 to 795 of the family's 1533-position model. The record is from RNAcentral.
CCUACGGGAGACUGCAGUGAGGAAUAUUGGUCAAUGGACGAGAGUCUGAACCAGCCAAGUAGCGUGAAGGAUGACUGCCCUAUGGGUUGUAAACUUCUUUUAUAUGGGAAUAAAAUGUUCCACGUGUGGGAUUUUGUAUGUACCAUAUGAAUAAGGAUCGGCUAACUCCGUGCCAGCAGCCGCGGUAAUACGGAGGAACCGAGCGUUAUCCGGAUUUAUUGGGUUUAAAGGGAGCGUAGGUGGAUUGUUAAGUCAGUUGUGAAAGUUUGCGGCUCAACCGUAAAAUUGCAGUUGAAACUGGCAGUCUGGAGUACAGUAGAGGUGGGCGGAAGUCGUGGUGUAGCGGUGAAAUGCUUAGAUAUCACGAAGAACUCCGAUUGCGAAGGCAGCUCACUGGACUGCAACUGACACUGAGGCUCGAAAGUGUGGGUAUCAAACAGGAUUAGAUACCCCUGUAGUC